RNAcentral lists this long non-coding RNA (835 nucleotides) under Nicotiana benthamiana. Its description in RNAcentral is "long non-coding RNA (NBEN_LNC012647)". The record is from RNAcentral. Lineage: Eukaryota; Viridiplantae; Streptophyta; Magnoliopsida; Solanales; Solanaceae.
GCUGUCUGAAACAUCGGAGCUCUUUUCAAAUUUAAAGACAAUGCGGAAAAGUAAAAUCAACUAAAGGUAAAAUGCGAUGCAUAUGCAUUGUUUAGCCUUGCUACCCCGAGGCUCUCCGGGCACUGGUGGUCCUGAUUGACCUUGGUGAGGUGUUCCCCUUGGUUCACAGCUUGAAUGGAAUGGCCUUCUUCCCUUUCCUCCUCGAAGAUAACACAGCAAUCCAUAACAUCCUCCAGAAAUAGGUUCUUCAUUGCUGCUAGUGUCUCAUCUUCCUCUGAUCCAUAUAUGAUAUCAGCGGGCUGAAAGGUCUACUCUAACUGAGGUAGAUGGUGCUCUAGUGGGUAGUAGGAGCCGCACCAUGGUGGCAGCUAGCUGAAAGGUCUACUUUAGCUGAGGUAUAGGGUGCUCCAGUGGGUAGUAAGGACCGCGCCAUGAUGGCGACCAGUGGUUUAACUCCUCCCAAGUAUACUCAUAACCCAGGCCAAAAGUGGUACCAUGCUUCUUCAACUUGAUAGGCUCGGUAAUGUCGUGGAGAUUAUUGCCAAGUCCUUUUCCAGGCUCAUACCCGCUCCAAUUCAGAAUGCUCUCAAUUUUGUUAUCCCACCACUUGUCUUUGUCUAUGGCAUUGACUCGCUCGAUGUGAUGGUAUGUUUCUACUUGAUAGGCUUGGUGAUGCCCUGGAGGUUUUUGCCAAGUCCUUUUCUAGGCUCAUACCCGCUCUAAUUCAGAAUUCUCUCAAUUUUGUUAUCCCACCACUUGUGUUUGUCUAUGGCAUUAACUCACUCGAUGUGAUGAUAUGUUUCACCACCUAUUCUCCUUCUUCCUCCGAUCAUCG